UUGACCUCAAAUCAGGUAGGACUACCCGCUGAACUUAAGCAUAUCAAUAAGCGGAGGAAAAGAAACUAACAAGGAUUCCCCUAGUAACUGCGAGUGAAGCGGGAAAAGCUCAAAUUUAAAAUCUGGCGGUCUUGCGGCCGUCCGAGUUGUAAUCUGGAGAAGCGUUUAUCCGCGUCGGACCGUGUACAAGUCUUCUGGAAGGGAGCGUCGUAGAGGGUGAGAAUCCCGUCUUUGACACGGACAACCGGUGC
Molecule: ribosomal RNA, 251 nt
Filed under: uncultured Piloderma
Lineage: Eukaryota; Fungi; Basidiomycota; Agaricomycetes; Atheliales; Atheliaceae
Description: partial 28S ribosomal RNA
Rfam family: Eukaryotic large subunit ribosomal RNA
Source: RNAcentral